GCUGAUGUGGCACAGUCGGUAGCGCACCUCAUUGGUAGUGAGGAGGUCACGAGUUCGAUUCUCGUCAUCAGCU
RNAcentral lists this transfer RNA (73 nucleotides) under Kineothrix alysoides. It matches the Rfam family "tRNA". From Rfam's summary of the family: Transfer RNA (tRNA) molecules are approximately 80 nucleotides in length. The record is from Rfam by way of RNAcentral. Lineage: Bacteria; Bacillati; Bacillota; Clostridia; Lachnospirales; Lachnospiraceae. RNAcentral also lists the same sequence under 3 other names.